Molecule: ribosomal RNA, 384 nt
Filed under: uncultured eukaryote
Lineage: Eukaryota
Description: partial 18S ribosomal RNA
Rfam family: Eukaryotic small subunit ribosomal RNA
Source: RNAcentral
CAAUAGCGUAUAUUAAAGUUGUUGCGGUUAAAAAGCUCGUAGUUGGAUUUCGGCGGACAGGGGGCGGUUCGAUAUUUGUCGCUACUGCCCCAUUUGUCCGUGUUUUUGGCGGAGGUUUCAGGGUGCUCUUCACCGAGUGCCCUGGGAUGCCGUCAGGUUUACUUUGAAAAAAUUAGAGUGCUCAAAGCAGGCUUUACACGCUUGAAUAUUCGUGCAUGGAAUAAUGGAAUAGGACGUCGUUUCUAUUUUGUUGGUUUUCGGAAAUCGACGUAAUGAUUAACAGGGACAGUCGGGGGCAUUAGUAUUCAGACGACAGAGGUGAAAUUCUUGGACCGUCUGAAGACUAACUACUGCGAAAGCAUUUGCCAAGAAUGUUUUCAUUAA